Molecule: long non-coding RNA, 400 nt
Organism: Trematomus bernacchii (emerald rockcod)
Lineage: Eukaryota; Metazoa; Chordata; Actinopteri; Perciformes; Nototheniidae
Exons: 3
Source: RefSeq, a predicted model, not a curated record
CCGGGGUUUCCUCCGAAGUAAUCUGGAAGGAAACUAAACACAACGUGUCCUCAUUUCUUCUGUUUCACCUGCACCAUACAGGCUGGAGGAGCAGGAGAAAGUGACACACUGCGUGUUUUAAAUAUCAAGUUGCAGCAACAUCUUUUCAAACAGCUGAACCCCACAGCAGAUGAAAGUAGUGACAGGUUUGGGAAGUUGCAUGGAUACAUUCCAUCAGCGGACUUCACAAGGAGACAUUUUUGUUCAAGAUCAUCAACUGGAACCAAGUGGAUCAAGGUACCUUCAUUUCCCCUAAAGAUAUGAGGCACAAAACCAUAACCCUGUGGAAGGGGGAAGGACCUAGUCUGUGUGUCCAAAGGUUUGAAGAACAUGGCCAUUUCUGCUCCUGCUUCUGAGCUCA